GGGGUCCUCCUCCAGGGGCCAGGGGGUCUGGUUAUAUUGUCCCCUCAAGUGAACCUGGGCCGUCGGAUCAAACCGACAUUGAUUGAAUGGUUAUUCUUGAUCCUUUAGGUCGGUGGAGAUCUCCCGAGAGAAAGAGUCCUGAUUGGGCUCCAGAGGUGGGCGGGCGCCCAGGGAAACAGGGCGGGCGCCCUGCCUUUGGCCCCGUUUGGCCUCCGCUUCCUUCUCGUGGCUUCUGGAGUCUUCUAGAUGUAAGAUAAUUGCGCGGCACGUUAAUAUCUCUAUGUAAUCCCGACGUGUGGGCCUUUCUUCCGUAUUUCAUGAUAACCCCCUGCAGAAAUAGACAAACACCAAAACUCGUGGAAUUCUGUCACAUAAAACCCUAAGUCUAGAUGUUGAUUUCAUUUGGAUCCUUUUCUUUGUUUAUUUGAUAAUUAAAUUUGAUACUUAAGGACCGUCAACAAACUCCCCCAAGCUUACCUCUUGCUCGUCCCUGAGCAAGGAUAGUCUCAGCAAUGGAUCAGAAGUUGUUGCAAUAUCUUAAAAAUUUAACGGUACACAUGCUUUUAAAUAAGAUCUCAUCUCUGAGUUAGAGUAAACUGUCAAGAACUAAAACUUACUUAGUUUACCUUUCACUAUGGGACUUGUAACCGUCACUUCUGUCUUGAGUAGUUAAAAGAUAGAGCAGUCGAGCCAAGUGCCAUGUCUCUUAUUCUUGAUCAGCUAUAGCUCUAGAGUUUUUGUAGAUUUUCAAAUAAAACUCAGUGAUUCCUUGUAUGACUCUCUAAAUCUCUCUUUUAUGGUAUUUCUGGAUCCUUAACAAGGCAGUGAUGGUAUAUGCCUUCUCUCAAGAUAUGUGGUAUUUGUGGUAUAAGGCAUAGUGACAUUGCCUUCUCUCUCACCCUACUCUAAUAAGGCUUUAAUAUCUGGAGCUCAUAGGUGGGAGAUAAAGUAUACAUACUUACAAGACAUUUAUUGUAUAGUCAAACCAUGGAUCCAAAGAAACUAAUCAAUAAACCAAAUCAAGAUGUGCAUGUGUGGCGAAUGAAUGGUGUAUGGUGAUGAUGGUGAUAACAAUGGUGAAAGUCUAAUUCUACUUUUGCUCUUUUGAGGGGAUACAUACCUUCCUUGCUUUUUGAAACUUUAUGAGGAGAAUGAGAUGCUAUUCUUUUUCUUUCCUCUCAGGUGGGUAUCUUGUACCCCUAAUUCUACUGUCGGACACUUAUCCAUUUUUAACUCUCGUCUCGCUUUUUCUUUCUUUCGAGGUUCCGGGCACUUGCCCCUUUUUAUUUCCUCGUUUAUUUAUUUUUUUUCUUCUCUUUUCUUUUUUUGUUCAGAGCACUCAUCUCUUGAGAUAAUAUAGCAAGUGGUAGUAGCAAAAUAACUUGAGCAUUUAUUUCACAAGGGAAAACAGAAAUAUUUUUGGCUAUUCUCUCCUGGAUUUGGAGUAGAAUAUUUUUGGGUGGUUCUGCUGAUGGACAUGGAUGGAUAUAUGUGGAUGAUACUUCCAGAGUAGAAGUAGCAUAUAUGAGUGAACGUGCAAGUGAAUCUUGAUUUAACCACAUGACAAGCUCCUAAGGGUCUACACAGCUUGACCACACUUAAUGCUCAUAAGCAGUAAAUAGUAAAUGUGUGGCUCAAAGUCUAGCAAGCAUGUAUAUAUGGCUGUGGUAGGAAUUUAAACUCUCAUCAUACAGGAACUCAUCAUGCAAUAUUUUAAAGGUUUUUCAAAGAUAAAAUUCUUCAGAAUUCUAGCAUCUCUAGGAACAGAUAAACAACAGCUCAACCUUCCCAUAUCAUAUCCGUUAACAACUUAGAUUUCAGAUCAAGUUUUCAUCCCACAAGUUUAGAUCUAGAGCAAGCUUUAAAUUAUAACAGCUAUGUCUAAACUUGAGAGAGAACUUCAAAUUUACAAAUUAGGCAGAGCAACUAUUCAUCAUAUCCAUGCUAGAGUUUUAUUAUUAAGAUUCAGAUUAGCAUAGCCACUUUAUUUAUUUAUUAAACACACUAAGCAAAAGAUAUAUAUAUAAGCACAAAAUCUUUAUUUGGUUUUUCAUAGUUUAUGUAUUUAAUAUUCUAACAUAAUAUAAGUAUAAAGAUAGGUAGAAAUACUUAGCGAGAUAAAUGGGGAUGCUCUCCCCCAAGCUGAAUUUUGACGUAAUUUCUCUUGAUGUAGCUAACAGGUGGCAGAGGUGUAUUUGAAAGUCAGUAGUAUUCUGACACGAUUAGAAUGCCCUCCGUCUGCUAAUCUUCUUGAUUCUUAAAUUCUCUGGAGCUCAAAUAGACAACAAAGCUUGUGGAACUAAUUAAGUGUUAGCAUAAAUAUCUAGCGUUCAUCAAGUUGAGCUUCUUCAAUAAAUAUUACUCCCUGUUUUUAUAUUUUUAUUUUAUAAAGCAGAAAAGAAAUAUUUAUUUUAUUUUUAUGCCACCACAGUGAAGGUACUUAUGGGUUUUAUGCCACUCGUAUACUCACAUGGGGCUUAGUAUUAUUUAACAUUUUUAUUUUCUUUUCAAGAUAGCAUGAUUAACUAAUAAUCUAUUUAAGGCAAGUAAAUAAUUAAAGGGAAAAGGGAAUGCAGAAAGGAUAAAUAUGGAUAACUACCAAUUUUACCUUUCGGCGAGGGUGCAAUGUUUUAUGUCUUCUGAACAAGACUUCUCACCGUGUUUAUUCUUUAGGUGCGUCAUUUGAUUCAGGUGCGGACCUUGACGUCUGCACCUCUUAAUACGGUGUCACUCAUGUUCUUCGUUUGCCCAGUAGUUCGAAGUGCGGUGUUGGCAGUAUCUUGCUCAGUGUGUUUGUGCUCGUAGUGUAACUGCUCACAGAGACAAGGCAGAGAUCAAGUGCAUGGGCC
Molecule: long non-coding RNA, 2849 nt
Filed under: Sorghum bicolor (sorghum)
Lineage: Eukaryota; Viridiplantae; Streptophyta; Magnoliopsida; Poales; Poaceae
Description: long non-coding RNA (SBIC_LNC001060)
Source: RNAcentral